Belonocnema kinseyi is the source of this 367-nucleotide long non-coding RNA. RefSeq lists it as uncharacterized. The transcript is spliced from 3 exons. The record is from RefSeq and is a predicted model, not a curated record. NCBI's taxonomy places the organism in Eukaryota, Metazoa, Arthropoda, Insecta, Hymenoptera, Cynipidae.
CACCAACGUUUUACGUACCCUGACUUACCCAAGUCAGACGCAAACAGGAUUGUGUUACUGUGUUUUUGUUUUAAUCUAGUUUCAUGAUAUUCAUAAAAUAGUCUGCAUACCGCCACUUAGGUAGCUCGUACAGCUCAAAAACAGCAGUAAUUCGGAAGAUAAUCAGCUCUUCGAGGAAGCCGAAGGUUUAUUAUAUGGACCCGGAAUCGCCGAUUGAUCGAUAAAUGGAAAAAUUUUGACAGCUGCAGCAGUUUUCGAUGCCUCGGAGCAGACGCUUGAAGAAAUAUUCUGCAGGGCCGCCAUUUUGUAAAAAAAAUCACGUUUCUUUACACUUUAUCAAUGUAGAAAAAAAGAUGUUAAAAUUAAU